UUGUUCGUGUGCGGUGUUCGUGUUCCCUUCUCGUACUCGAAUAUAAAAUGGCUGUUUAGAGUUUUAUUUCAACGAUAUAUAUUUUAACUUUGUUCAAAAUAUAUGCAUAAAUACAUUUAGUAGAAUGUUUAAUUUUAUUCUUUGUGUAAAAUCUAUAGAACUACAGUACAGUGAAACAUUUUAUGAAAUCAAUAACUUGUUCGGUUAAGUUGGUGGGGCUUGCAAUUGUCCCUUUCUUUCGUCUAUCGUUUUCUCGGUCCAUUUCGUGUCGUGCGUUCUCCUUGUGUGCAGUGUCGUUCCCGAUAUUUUCCUUGAUAACUUCUUAAGAAAACCAUGUUAUUUUUAAUGAAGUAAAUUUAAAGAAGUAUUGGUGAUGUUGACCUUAGGUUUAUUGUUAUUUUGCAAAAAACCAUCCUCAUUUACCGCCACGGUACGCCAAAAAUUUAGAAAGCUUCAACCACGUUUCGGAUUUCGAUUGAUGAAACUAUGAACCUGGACUCUUUAACCUUUAGCUUAUCACGAAUCCAUUAUCUUGUUAUAAAUUUAAGUAAGAAGAACUUCAAGCAAACAAGUCAAGAGUUGUCACUGAUUGUCAGUCACUAUGGCUUGGAAGCGGAAAAUCAGUUGCUGAGGUCUUUGCUCACGGAAGCAGCAAAGACUUCUUUGGAUACUGAUCGCACAGGCCCAGCAGUCAACAGCAUUCAUGCUACUCUUCUGGCUCAGUAUUUGGGUUCGUUGUUGAGCCAUCCUGCCAAGUCGACUGUCGUCUGUCAGGCUGUGGACAACCCCAAUCGUUCUGUGCAGAAGAUUUUAAAACCUUCUAACACUUUACUCAAUCGUCUUUCAAGAUUGUUGAAGUUAACAACUGCCGAAGAUGUCACCUUGUCGUUGGUGUUGAGGCGAUAUUCGUCCAAGACUGAGAUUACAGCGCUAGCAAAACAACAUCUGAAGAAAAGAUUCUUAGAUCUAGUACAGUGUUAUUUAGAUGCUGAGCAUGGUCAUCAGGCUGAGCGUGCAGGCCUUCAGGAAUGCAGCCCUGAAGUUUUGCAAACUCUCCUUAUAAGUCUCGCGUACGAGAACUUUCGCCUCGCUCCGGUAACAAAAGAGUUAUUUGUGAAACGUUUACGUGUUGACUUCCCUCGAGAAGUCGUGCCAAUAGUGUUAGCACCGUUGCUUUAUCCCGACGAUACACAAACCCCGUUGGAGGAAAUGAGCACUGCCGACGACAUGGCGGUCGCAAUGAUGGAUAACUCAUUAGCGGAUAUCAUCCGCGAUAUUGGAUACAACUUUACAUCAUCAUUCGAAGAAUGCAAGAACAACAUGUUGAACUUUGGAGCGCGAGAGCCUACCGCAAUAGAUAUUGCGCGUAUAAUUUCGAUGAUGGUGCGUUAUCAUACCACAGUGCCCGAUGGGCCCCCGAUUCAAACUCCGGGAAACUUCUGGACGAAUCACGAAGCAAAGAAAGAGGCAAUUACACAUGGACAUGGAGAAUCCUGGAAUGCAGAGAUAUUUGUACAGACAUUGAAAGAGCUGGCAUCUAACCUGAAUUGGAAAGAAGUCAUAUUGCAACUGGACCAUCCAGAAUUUAUUGUCCCAGACAGACAGGGACUGAGCCUAUUGUUCUCCAUCUUGCGUUUAGGUCUACAGAGUGCAGGCUAUCCAUCCAACAUAUUCCCCGUGGAAUAUCUAUGCCGCAGGUGGACCAACCUGGAAGGACAAAUGAGUUUGAUUACUAAUAUUUUGAAACAUCCAGAUAUAUUUAGCCUUGCUGAUUAUCCAUUCCAUCCGGUGUCCAUUGACAUUCUCAAGUCCUUGCCAGAAAGUGAUAACAAAGAGAUAGCCACCUGGAGGUGUCUGUACCUGGUUGAACUGCUGUUGUAUGCAUCUGAGCGAGGCUACUACAUGCAAGUCCAUGAGCUGUUCAAGUUUCCUUUACAGCAUUGCCCUGACAUUUUGAUGCUCGCCUUGUUGCAAAUAAAUGCACCAAUCACUGUAUUUCAACAGGAAUUGCUGUCUACUUUAAUACCAAUAUUUUUAGGCAACCACCCCAAUUCUGGAAUCAUUUUGCAACAUGCGUGGCAUUCACAGAAUCCGAACAUCAAACCAAUUAUCAUGCAUGCAAUGGCGGAAUGGUAUAUACGCGGAGACAGUGAUCAAUCCAAGUUAUCAAGAAUCUUGGAUGUGGCUCAAGACUUAAAAGCUUUAUCGCUGCUACUGAAUGUCCAGUCUUUUCCCUUUGUUAUUGACUUAGCUUGCCUUGCAUCAAGAAGGGAGUACCUUAAAUUGGAUAAAUGGUUAACUGACAAAAUACGAGACCACGGUGAAACUUUUGUCUCUGCUAUGGUUAAAUUUUUGCAGAGAAGAUGUCCACCAGUGAUGGGGAAACCACCAGAAGAGCAGUUGCCCAAAGCCGCGCAGUUGCCCCCGGAGACUAUUGGCACCAUGCUGACCUGUUUGCAGCUCUGCGCUCCAAAUGUCGUCCAGGAAUUGCAGGAAGCUAUCUAUAAUGUGGUAGCGACCUGCCAGACUUUAAUCAUUAAUAAAACAAGACAAACGAUGGCGGGAAUUGCUCGUCCUCAUACAAGAGUCAUUGAAACACCGUUUAACCCUGCAGCUUUGGGAGGGCAACUUUUCACUCCGCAUGUCGAUUCGAUAGCUAAUCUUACUCCGAAUGUCGCUAAUAUGACCUUAGGCGCACCAGCAAAUACCGCAUUCGCAAUGCCUGGCACUUUAGGGCCUUUAGUGCCACCCCCUGGGUCUCCUUCUCGAUUGCUAGGACCGGGGCCUAACAGCCCUUACCCCAUGAUGGCAAUUCCGCAUAAUCCUAACAUUCCCAAUAUGGGCGCUUUACGAAUGGCGCAAAUGCCUCCCAUGGAUAAAUUUCGUUUACCCGAUCAGAUUCAUUUCCCUGAAAUUAUGCACAAUGUUUCAAAAGAAAUCGAGGAUGAGGCAAAUGGCUAUUUUCAAAGGAUAUACAACCACCCCCCACACCCUACUCUGUCUAUAGAUGAGGUGCUAGAAAUGCUAAAGAAGUUUCAAGAUUCGCCAAAUAAAAGAGAGCGAGAAGUAUUUUCAUGCAUGCUUAGGAACUUAUUCGAGGAAUACAAAUUCUUCCCGCAAUAUCCCGACAAAGAACUUCAUAUUACCGCUCAAUUAUUUGGUGGUAUCAUUGAAAAGGGUCUUGUUCCGACUUACGUGUCGUUGGGUUUAGCCUUGCGAUUUGUUUUGGAUGCGCUUCGGAAGCCGGAGGGCUCUAAAAUGUAUUACUUUGGUAUAGCUGCGUUGGACAGAUUCAAAUCACGUUUAAAGGACUAUCACAAGUACUGUGAGCAUGUCCGUGCUAUACCACAUUUUAGUGAAUUCCCUCCGCAUCUGAUUGAGUAUAUCGAAUAUGGACUGCAGAGUCAAGAGCCGCCCACAAAGCCUCAGGGUGCCGUGUUGCCCGCUAGUCUGGCCGCUAUGUUGAGUCAAAAUACUGUUGUCACGGUUUCCGCGCCAUACAGGACCGUGGUAGGUGCCCCGAACCCCAUGAGCGUGAUAUCCAAAAUGGCGAACUGCGUGGCCGGCGGCAUCGGCAGUCGGCCGUCCAUCGCCAUCGCCACCAACAUCGACACGCUGCUCACAGCCACCGAUAGGGAAGAGAAGAUUAACGCGCCCCCAGAAGCUGUACAAGAUAAAACCGCAUUCAUUUUCAAUAACUUGAGCCAACUCAAUCUUCAGACUAAAUGCGAAGAGCUUAAAGAAAGCAUAACCGAAGAAUACUAUCCUUGGCUUUCACAAUAUCUUGUUAUGAAACGGGCAUCCAUUGAAUUCAAUUUCCAUGCCUUGUAUUCUAAUUUCCUAGACGUCCUAAAGGCGCGAGAAGUUAAUAGGCUUGUCAUAAUUGAGACUUAUCGAAAUAUCAAAGUGUUGUUGCGUUCCGAUAAAAGCAUAGCCAACUUUAGUGACCGAUCUUUGCUUAAAAAUCUCGGCCAUUGGUUGGGAAUGCUCACGCUGGCUCGCAAUCAACCAAUUCUUCUCGUUGAUAUUGACCUCAAAACACUUUUACUUGAAGCUUAUCAUAAAGGCCAACAAGAACUCUUGUACGUCGUACCCUUCGUAGCCAAAGUUCUAGAGUCGUGCGCGAGGAGUUCAGCAUUCAAACCACCGAACCCUUGGACCAUGGGAUUAAUGAACGUGCUAGCCGAACUUCAUCAAGAACCUGAUUUGAAGUUGAACCUCAAGUUUGAAAUAGAAGUGCUUUGUAAAAACUUAAGCUUAGACAUAUCAGACUUAAAACCAACUCUGUACCUGAAAGAUCCUGAGAAGCAUAGACUCAUCGAAUUCCAACUAUCCCCACCAAAGAUGAAUAAGGAACCACCUGUAAAUGUUAUUCCUAUGAAUCCAACCAUUAUACAGGCCCCACAGAUGCAAAUGAUGCCACCUCAGCCACCAAUGAUUCCUGUCGAAGAAAUGACCUUGACCGUACCACCUCCUCCUAUUGGCAUCGAUCCCUCUUUAAUGGGAGUCCUUGGAAUACCAGAGCCCCGUUUCAAUUACUUGGACGUAAAUGUCACCUCAACCUCAGCUUUUGGACAAAAAAUUUGUUUCAAUCAUCACAUUCUCCUAUUCCAAACCUAUCCCCAUUUGAAACAGUUUGUUAAACCUGCUAUCGAAAGGUCUAUUCAAGAAUGGAUUCACCCAGUCGUUGAUAGGUCUAUUAAAUACGCCCUGACUACGUGUGAGCAAAUUAUCCGCAAAGAUUUCGCCCUAGAUCCGGACGAGGGACGCAUGCGCACAUGUGCCCAUCACAUGAUGCGCAACCUGACUGCAGGCAUGGCUAUGAUCACAUGCCGGGAGCAGAUCAUCAGCACCAUCAGCACCAACCUGAAAGCAGCCUUCCUCACAGCACUCAUGCCUGCUAAUCCACAACAGCUUGUGUUCCAGAAGGAUAUAGUUGAAAGUGCAGCAGCUGUUAUAGCAACAGAAAACAUGGAAUUAGCCUGUGCCUUUAUUCAAAAAACAGCCGUUGAAAAAGCAUUACCCGAACUUGAUAAACGUCUAAUGAACGACUAUGAAGUUAGGAAACAAGCUAGACUCGAAAACCGGCGUUAUUACGACCCGGUUGUACUGUCAUACCAAACCGAAAAUCUUCCCGAACGAGUGAGACUGCGCAUGGGAGGACCAAUGGACAUGCAGAUUGCUGUAUAUGAAGAAUUCGCUUGCAACAUUCCUGGCUUCAUGCCCGUGAGAGACGCUGGUAUGUUCAUUCCAAAACCCUCCCAAGAACAAAUUCCACAGCUAACUUUUAGCCAAGUUAUGAAUCCAACUCAAGUGUAUGGUACAGAUGAGAUGGGGGCUUUGAUAUCAGCUGCCGAGAUGUUCCUGUCCAAUGCAAUGAAUACACAGAGUUUUCCGGUUCAAGCUACCAAUAUGCACACCCUUCUUGAGUGUCUCGUAAUUGCAAGAAGAAACCGUGAUAUUGUAUCUGGUUGUAACUUACUGCAGAGGGCUGUUGAAGGCUUACUCGAUGGCCACAUUAUUCAAUCUGGAGUCAACGCAGAACACGUUGACCUGAUGACAAGAUAUAGAGAUAUUCACCUGCGUGUACUUAAGCUCUUGGAAGACGCCAGGGUGUACGGACAUGUAUGGACCACGAAGCAGAUCACCUGCUGUCUAACAGAGUGCAGAGAUGAGCUGAGAUACAACAUUGAAGCCGUUGAUUGCCUCAUCCGCAAUCAUCUCAUCAAUAUGCCACAAUAUGACUUAGCCCUCGCUCACCUGAUGGACAAUGGUAAUAAUUACGUAGCUGUAGCCUUCGCAAUGCAGUUGGUGCAACUGUAUCUAGUUGACGAUAGGAACAACAUCUUCGUGAACGAAUCUGAUUUAUACCACACGACCGAAACUUUGGUCCGUAUCAUGGCACAUCCCCAACAACCCCCACCGGAGGGUCUGGCGACAUUGAUCGAAACGUUGAGAAUAAAUCAAGAUCCUAGUGCUUACCUUGGAGAGAGAAUGCCACUUGGACCCACAGCGCACAUACACGCUGGUAUCGCACAAGUCAGGAACCGCGAAUAUGACGACCCGCCCGGCCUUCAAGAGAAGACAGAGAAUGUGCUUCGCGAAUGGCGUACCAUGCUUCUCAGCCCGUUGACGGAUGUCGAAUUUAGCCAAAACUUCAACAUUUAUGUGCACCGAAUGAAUAUUAACGGAAUAUUAAAAUCUGAUGAUAUGGUCACAAGAUUCUUCCGUAUCGCAACUCAGAUGUGCGUCGAGAAUGUGUACCAACUGCUGAACGAGGAAAAAGCCAAUCCUCCAGCGGUCCCAAACAAACGGGAGAAAUACUACGUAAUAUGCGACUCUUUCAUUAAACUGGUCUCUUUACUUAUAAAGAACACCGCCGACGCCGGCAAUCCAACACCCAAACUCAAUCUGUUGAACAAGAUCUUGGGGAUAAUAGCUGGUUGCCUGAUGCAAGAUCAUGAUGACCCCGGGCAUGAAUUCCAUCAGCUGCCGUACCACCGCUUGCUGAUGAUCCUCUUCCUCGACAUGAACAUGGCUGAACCCGUCUUAGAAUCUAUGAAUUAUCAGGUUCUCACUGCGUUCUGCCAUACGCUACGCAUUAUCCGCCCUAGCGUGGCCCCUGGCUUUUGCUAUGCCUGGCUGGAAAUACUAUCACAUCGCGCAUUCGUAAACCGAGUGCUCGCUGUCACUCCACAACAGAAGUUAUACCAUUGUUUCAUUCAGGGCUGGGGAAUGUAUUCAACGCUGCUCAUAGAUCUAUUCAAAUUCCUGGACCCAUUCUUAAGAAACACAGAACUAGCUCCCCCCGUCAUGGCGCUUUACAAGGGGACACUUAAAGUGCUCCUUGUAUUGCUUCAUGACUUCCCUGAAUUUCUUUGCGAUUAUCACUUCGGUUUCUGUGAUGAAAUACCCCCCAACUGCAUACAAAUGCGGAACUUGAUACUAUCGGCGUUCCCGCGCAAUAUGAGACUGCCGGACCCCUUCACGCCCAACCUGAAAGUGGACCUGCUCUCCGAGAUAGCGCUGUCGCCCCGAGCAGUCAUCAACUACGCAACAAUUAUCCCCAUUACACAAUUCAAGAAGGAUCUGGACGCUUACCUCAAAGCCAGGACCCCAGUUACCUUCCUUUCUGAGCUAAGAAGCAACAUGCAGUUCCCGCAGGUGGUUAACGAACCCGGUCGCCGUUACAACACGCACCUGUUGAAUGCUGUGGUCCUGUACGUCGGAGCUCAGGCGAUCGCCUACAUCAGAUCCAAGGGGCAGACACCAAACAUGACGACCAUCGCCCACUCUGCUCACAUGGAUAUAUUCCAGAACUUCACAGUCGACUUUGAUUAUGAGGGACGUUAUCUGUUCUUCAACGCAAUCGCCAAUCAGUUGCGCUACCCGAACAGUCAUACGCACUACUUCAGUUGCUGCCUAUUAUAUCUGUUCGCGGAAGCCAAUUCUGAAGCUAUACAAGAACAGAUCACUAGGAUGCUACUCGAGAGGCUGAUUGUGAACAGACCUCACCCAUGGGGCCUCCUUAUCACGUUCAUCGAACUCAUCAAGAACCCAGUCUACAAGUUCUGGUCACAUGAGUUUGUUCAUUGCGCGCCUGAAAUUGAGAAGCUUGCCAAGCGCCGCAAUGCCACCAGCGACCACCAGCCAGCCCUCCACCUCGUCCGCUCUGCCCAAGCAGUGGAACCAACUGUUCAAGUAAAUCCUUUACAAGGUUUUAACUUUAAUGUUGGUGAGGGUCAGCAGACUAUGGUGAACUCGCAGCCCAAGUGAAAGUGAAGUGAUGUGACACUGUGUGUGAUUGUGAUUUCAAUUCAACAAUUAUUUAGUAUAAUAAGAUGGCCAUGAUAAACAUUACAUUGUAAUCAGUACAGGCACGGACAACUUUAGAUUUAAGUAAAUUUAUUGUCAUUUUGGGGUCUCCAUAGGACUGUUAAAAUUGGAGAUUCAGUAAUAUACUAUAGUAAGUAAUAUACUUCACUUAAAAUGUGAACUUGUCAACUUAUGUAAACAAUAGAUAUUGGAGAUUUAGUAAUAUACUAUAGUAAAUAAUAUACUUCACUUAAAAUUUGAACUUGUCAACUUAGGUAAACAAUAGAUAUUGGAGAUUUAGUAAUAAAUUAUAGUAAAUAAUAUACUUCACCUAAAAUGUGAACUUGUCAACUUAUGUAAACAAUAGAUAUUGGAGAUUUAGGAAUAUACUAUAGUAAAUAAUAUACUUCACUUAAAAUGUGAACUUGUCAACUUA
This is an RNA transcript of Papilio xuthus (Asian swallowtail), 8251 nucleotides long. It is a transcript of the gene named CCR4-NOT transcription complex subunit 1, with no coding region annotated. The record is from RefSeq and is a predicted model, not a curated record. Lineage: Eukaryota; Metazoa; Arthropoda; Insecta; Lepidoptera; Papilionidae. The transcript is spliced from 16 exons.